This 430-nucleotide ribosomal RNA is filed under the name uncultured bacterium. Its description in RNAcentral is "bacterial SSU rRNA". It matches the Rfam family "Bacterial small subunit ribosomal RNA", at positions 355 to 776 of the family's 1533-position model. The record is from RNAcentral. RNAcentral also lists the same sequence under 1 other name.
UGGGGAAUUUUGCGCAAUGGGCGAAAGCCUGACGCAGCAACGCCGCGUGAGUGAUGAAGGCCUUCGGGUCGUAAAGCUCUGUCAGAGGGGAAGAACCUCCUGAGGGAUAAUAACCCUCAGGCCUGACGGUACCCUCAAAGGAAGCACCGGCUAACUCCGUGCCAGCAGCCGCGGUAAUACGGAGGGUGCAAGCGUUGUUCGGAAUUAUUGGGCGUAAAGCGCGUGCAGGCGGUUGCUUAAGUCUGAUGUGAAAGCCCUGGGCUCAACCCGGGAAGUGCAUUGGAAACUGGGCAACUUGAGUACGGGAGAGGAUAGUGGAAUUCCGAGUGUAGGGGUGAAAUCCGUAGAUAUUCGGAGGAACACCGGUGGCGAAGGCGGCUAUCUGGACCGAUACUGACGCUGAGACGCGAAAGCGUGGGGAGCAAACAGG